RNAcentral lists this ribosomal RNA (425 nucleotides) under uncultured bacterium. RNAcentral's name for it is "partial 16S ribosomal RNA". It matches the Rfam family "Bacterial small subunit ribosomal RNA", at positions 354 to 796 of the family's 1533-position model. The record is from RNAcentral.
GUGGGGAAUCUUGCGCAAUGGGCGAAAGCCUGACGCAGCCAUGCCGCGUGAAUGAUGAAGGUCUUAGGAUUGUAAAAUUCUUUCACCGGGGACGAUAAUGACGGUACCCGGAGAAGAAGCCCCGGCUAACUUCGUGCCAGCAGCCGCGGUAAUACGAAGGGGGCUAGCGUUGCUCGGAAUUACUGGGCGUAAAGGGCGCGUAGGCGGAUCGUUAAGUCAGGGGUGAAAUCCCAGAGCUCAACUCUGGAACUGCCCUUGAUACUGGCGAUCUUGAGUGUGAGAGAGGUAUGUGGAACUCCGAGUGUAGAGGUGAAAUUCGUAGAUAUUCGGAAGAACACCAGUGGCGAAGGCGACACACUGGCUCAUUACUGACGCUGAGGCGCGAAAGCGUGGGGAGCAAACAGGAUUAGAAACCCUGGUAGUCC